RNAcentral lists this ribosomal RNA (169 nucleotides) under Diospyros virginiana (American persimmon). Its description in RNAcentral is "5.8S ribosomal RNA". It matches the Rfam family "5.8S ribosomal RNA". From Rfam's summary of the family: 5.8S ribosomal RNA (5.8S rRNA) is a component of the large subunit of the eukaryotic ribosome. It is transcribed by RNA polymerase I as part of the 45S precursor that also contains 18S and 28S rRNA. Functionally, it is thought that 5.8S rRNA may be involved in ribosome translocation. Lineage: Eukaryota; Viridiplantae; Streptophyta; Magnoliopsida; Ericales; Ebenaceae. The record is from RNAcentral.
AAAUGACUCUCGGCAACGGAUAUCUCGGCUCUCGCAUCGAUGAAGAACGUAGCGAAAUGCGAUACUUGGUGUGAAUUGCAGAAUCCCAAUCCCGUGAACCAUCGAGUCUUUGAACGCAAGUUGCGCCCGAAGCCAUCCGGCCGAGGGCACGUCUGCCUGGGCGUCACGC